GAACGCCGGCGGCAUGCUUUACACAUGCAAGUCGAACGGCAGCACAGGGAGCUUGCUCCCGGGUGGCGAGUGGCGCACGGGUGAGUAAUACAUCGGAACGUGUCCUGUUGUGGGGGAUAACUGCUCGAAAGGGUGGCUAAUACCGCAUGAGACCUGAGGGUGAAAGCGGGGGAUCGCAAGACCUCGCGCAAUUGGAGCGGCCGAUGCCCGAUUAGCUAGUUGGUGAGGUAAAGGCUCACCAAGGCGACGAUCGGUAGCUGGUCUGAGAGGACGACCAGCCACACUGGGACUGAGACACGGCCCAGACUCCUACGGGAGGCAGCAGUGGGGAAUUUUGGACAAUGGGGGCAACCCUGAUCCAGCCAUGCCGCGUGCAGGAUGAAGGCCUUCGGGUUGUAAACUGCUUUUGUCAGGGACGAAAAGGAUCGUGAUAAUACCAUGGUCUGCUGACGGUACCUGAAGAAUAAGCACCGGCUAACUACGUG
RNAcentral lists this ribosomal RNA (485 nucleotides) under uncultured bacterium. RNAcentral describes it as "bacterial SSU rRNA". It matches the Rfam family "Bacterial small subunit ribosomal RNA", at positions 31 to 507 of the family's 1533-position model. The record is from RNAcentral.